GACCUGGUGGUGAAAUGUAUCAUGCCCACUCUGCUUAUGCUUGUAGGACAUGUAUUUGUGGGGAUCCCCGGUUCGAGUCCGGGUCAGGUCA
This is a non-coding RNA of Mycena leptocephala, 91 nucleotides long. The record is from the annotation of a GenBank genome assembly. NCBI's taxonomy places the organism in Eukaryota, Fungi, Basidiomycota, Agaricomycetes, Agaricales, Mycenaceae.